RNAcentral lists this ribosomal RNA (479 nucleotides) under uncultured bacterium. RNAcentral describes it as "partial 16S ribosomal RNA". It matches the Rfam family "Bacterial small subunit ribosomal RNA", at positions 28 to 506 of the family's 1533-position model. The record is from RNAcentral.
GACGAACGCUGGCGGCGUGCUUAACACAUGCAAGUCGAACGAUGAAGAAAAGAAUCGAAGCUUCGGCAGAAAUUCAUUUCGGAUUAGUGGCAGACGGGUGAGUAACGCGUGAGCAACCUACCUCUUACAAAGGGAUAGCCUCGGGAAACCGGGAUUAAUACCAUAUAACAUUGUGACGAAGCAUUUCGAUGCAAUCAAAGCUACGGCGGUAAGAGAUGGGCUCGCGUCCCAUUAACCGGAUGGUGAGGUAACGGCUCACCAUAGUGACGAUGGGUAACCGGCCUGAGAGGGUGAACGGUCACACUGGAACUGAGACACGGUCCAGACUCCUACGGGAGGCAGCAGUGGGGAAUAUUGCACAAUGGAGGGAACUCUGAUGCAGCGACGCCGCGUGAGUGAUGAAGGAAUUCGUUUCGUAAAACUCUGCUCUAGGGGAAGAAAAGGACUGUACCAUAGGAGAAAACUCCGGCUAAAUACGU